CUGGCGAGUAAAAUGUGCUCUUUUGAAACAUCAUAAUUUAAAUUUAAUCCUUUUGCUGCCCGUAUUUUUUUCUGAUUUCAUUUCGUGUGCCAGAAAACAUGAAAGCUCGAUACCUGUGACGUAUCAUGCCAAACAAUGACGUCAUUAAAAAAUGCUGUAAUGACUGUUUCAUUUUGGACCCAUUGGAGGAAAAUAUUUCUCAAAUGUUUGUGCUAUUUUCAUAAUUUCAUAUUUUCAAGAAGGGGUGUGAUAAAGGGUGGCAUGCGAUAAAGGGUGUGCUAAAGGGUUUGCAAUAAAGUUUUGUGAUACGGAUUAGACAGCUGCAUACUUAUCAAAUAUUCAAUACUACCGUAUUAACUACUAAUUAUAUGAUAAAUGUCUACAAUGAAUAACAAUAAUAUUGAUUUCGUUAAUUUUAUACUCUAAAUUAUUGAUUACACACAUGGUUUAUGGUAUGAUAUGUAAAGUAAAUAAUAACAGAUUGAUAUUACGGUGAUGAUGUUUUCGUUUUAAUUUGACAUUAUAUUCAGCUUUCUGGGCGGCUGUGUUAGUGGUAGUUGAGACUAUGUAUCAGUUCUGUCAUUAUAAAAAAAGUUUUCAUUCGCCCAGGCAGUUUUCCUGGCGGAAUGAAUAUAUCAUGUGGCCGAUAUCGAAUACCACAGGAAAUAGUACAUGCAUAUAGUCAAUAACUCAUUUUUUAAUGAUGUGUACGCUUACUUUGCAGAAAAUAUCCAUCGAUAUACUUUUGGUUAUAGUUAUGUUUUUGGUACUUUCGUAUUAUUCAUUC
This 787-nucleotide long non-coding RNA is filed under the name Mytilus galloprovincialis (Mediterranean mussel). The record is from RNAcentral. Lineage: Eukaryota; Metazoa; Mollusca; Bivalvia; Mytilida; Mytilidae.